Molecule: transfer RNA, 107 nt
Filed under: Loxodonta africana (African savanna elephant)
Lineage: Eukaryota; Metazoa; Chordata; Mammalia; Proboscidea; Elephantidae
Rfam family: tRNA
About the family: Transfer RNA (tRNA) molecules are approximately 80 nucleotides in length.
Source: Rfam by way of RNAcentral
GUCAGGAUGGCCGAGCGGUCUAAGGCGCCAGACUUAAGGUUUCUAUUCCCCCGCCUAGGAUUUCUGGUCUUCGGAGGGAGGCGUGGGUUCGAAUCCCACUUCUGACA